CGGGGUACGGUAAAAGUAGUGAAAAUCGCGUUCGGGACGCAGAGGCCGGAGGUUCGAAUCCUCUCACCCCGACCA
This 75-nucleotide transfer RNA is filed under the name Janthinobacterium sp. BJB412. RNAcentral describes it as "tRNA-Ser". The record is from RNAcentral. Lineage: Bacteria; Pseudomonadati; Pseudomonadota; Betaproteobacteria; Burkholderiales; Oxalobacteraceae.